CAUGCACUUAAUUAGGUAUUUCUGCCAACUUCGGCAUUAAUACUCAGUAAUGUGCAAAUAGAAAUUGAAGAUGUGCUUAAAGAAGUUUGUCUUAAUGCAAAUUUACACGGUACAACUUGUACA
This 123-nucleotide small nucleolar RNA is filed under the name Drosophila willistoni. Its description in RNAcentral is "snoRNA:GK26530". The record is from RNAcentral. Lineage: Eukaryota; Metazoa; Arthropoda; Insecta; Diptera; Drosophilidae.